RNAcentral lists this ribosomal RNA (454 nucleotides) under uncultured bacterium. Its description in RNAcentral is "partial 16S ribosomal RNA". It matches the Rfam family "Bacterial small subunit ribosomal RNA", at positions 28 to 507 of the family's 1533-position model. The record is from RNAcentral.
GAUGAACGCUGACAGAAUGCUUAACACAUGCAAGUCUACUUGAACUUCGGUUUGGGUGGCGGACGGGUGAGUCACGCGUAAAGAACUUGCCUCACAGUUAGGGACAACAUUUGGAAACGAAUGCUAAUACCUGAUAUUAUGAUUUUAGGGCAUCCUAGGAUUAUGAAAGCUAUAUGUGCUGUGAGAGAGCUUUGCGUCCCAUUAGCUAGUUGGAGAGGUAACGGCUCACCAAGGCGAUGAUGGGUAGCCGGCCUGAGAGGGUGAACGGCCACAAGGGGACUGAGACACGGCCCUUACUCCUACGGGAGGCAGCAGUGGGGAAUAUUGGACAAUGGACCAAAAGUCUGAUCCAGCAAUUCUGUGUGCACGAUGACGUUUUUCGGAAUGUAAAGUGCUUUCAGUUGGGAAGAAAAAAAUGACGGUACCAACAGAAGAAGAGACGGCUAAAUACGUG